This 62-nucleotide transfer RNA is filed under the name Neotermes castaneus (southern dampwood termite). RNAcentral's name for it is "tRNA-Ala". Lineage: Eukaryota; Metazoa; Arthropoda; Insecta; Blattodea; Kalotermitidae. The record is from RNAcentral.
AGGGCUGUAGUUAAUCAUAACAUUUGGUUUGCAAUCAGAAAGUACUGUAGAAGUCUGCCUUA